AUCAAUCACUUUGGAGAUUUUCAUGUUCUCUUUACAGUGACGCGACGAGACAAUCUCUCCCUGGCAAUUCGCUCCAGGAAGAAGAAGACCGAUCGAAAAAUGACCAACACCUCAAGCGCACGCACUGAAACUCGGUUCACCGCCAUGGACUUCGUCUGAACUGCCCCUCCAUCGUCGCGGUCGCCGUCGUUUCUCUUGGGAUGACUUCACUUCUCUCUCCUCUCUGGCGACCACCGCUCCACUCUCCCCCUCCUCCGAGCUACUUCGGGAGACCGACCAGCUCCGUCGGAUCAGCCGAGUUCGGAGUUUCGUCGCGCUUCGGCCCCAUCUCGAGGCGGAAAUGUUUCUGGCCCGAGCCUCCGCCGGAUUCCCUGAGGACCCGACGCGGACGCGAGUCGGUGGACCUGAAACCGGAGUUCGCGGCUCGAGUUAGGGUUUCUCCGAGCGGUACUCCGUCCGGUCCGCUGUCCCAUAAGGAAGCAGUGCAAGCUCCGGGUUUUGUUGAGUUCAUCACUUCGGAGAGGGUCAAGGUGGUGGCUAUGCUCGCAUUGGCAUUGGCGCUCUGUAAUGCGGACCGGGUGGUGAUGUCCGUGGUUAUUGUUCCUUUGUCGCUUUCUCACGGUUGGAGCCGAUCGUUCGCCGGCAUCGUUCAGUCGUCGUUCCUCUGGGGAUACUUGAUAUCACCAAUAGCUGGAGGGGCUCUUGUGGACCACUAUGGGGGUAAGGUUGUCAUGGGAUGGGGUGUGGCUUUGUGGUCUCUAGCAACAUUGCUCACCCCCUGGGCUGCUGAAACUUCUUUAUUGUCUCUCCUUGCGAUGCGUGUUUUACUUGGCAUAGCAGAAGGUGUGGCUCUUCCAUGCAUGAACAAGAUGGUUGCAAGAUGGUUUCCUGCGGCAGAACGAGCCAGAGCUGUCAGUAUAGCAAUGGCUGGCUUUACUCUAGGAAAUGCCAUAGGACUCUCCCUUUCUCCAAUUCUUAUGUCCCAAGGUGGAAUAUAUGGGCCAUUCGUUAUUUUCGGAUUGUCUGGGUUUCUCUGGGUUUUGGUUUGGUUGUCUGCAAUAACAAGCACUCCUGACCAGCAUCCUCAGAUAUCGAAAUAUGAGCUAAAUUACAUAAGGAGUGGGAGGCAUGAACCCUCGGAGCCAGUGGCUAAAAGCAACACAAGUAGCAUGAUCCCUCCUUUUAAGCGCAUGCUUUCCAAGAUGCCUACGUGGUCCCUAAUUGUUGCUAAUGCCAUGCACAGCUGGGGUUUCUUUGUUAUUCUCUCAUGGAUGCCAAUCUACUUUUACUCGGCCUAUCAUGUCGACCUCAGACAAGCAGCAUGGUACAGUGCUGUUCCAUGGAGUGUCAUGGCAUUUGUUGGGUACUUAGGCGGUAUGUGGUCAGACUUGUUGAUACAAGGAGGUACAAGCAUCUCUUUGACUCGCAAGCUUAUGCAGUCAAUUGGAUUCAUUGGUCCUGGGAUUGCUCUUAUCGGCUUAACCACAGCCAAGCAACCAUCUAUUGCAUCUGCCUGGCUUACUUUAGCAAUCGGGCUGAAGUCUUUCAGUCACUCUGGGUUUCUAGUGAACUUACAGGAGAUCUCUCCAAAGUAUUCAGGCGUUCUACAUGGAAUGUCAAAUACAGCAGGAACAUUAGCAGCUAUUUUGGGAACAGUUGGAGCUGGUUUCUUCGUUGAAUUGGUCGGUUCGUUCAGAGGAUUUCUGUUGCUUACAUCAAUGUUAUAUGUGCUUGCUGCUAUCUUUUGGGAUAUCUUUUCUUCUGGAGAGAGGAUUAAUUUUGAUGAGACAGAUCUGUCACCACAUUCUGGGUCAACAACAGCUUCAUGAAAUGUACCUUUGCAACUACUGGUUACACAGCCCCAGGCGGCAGAGGUCAAUUCUGCAGGUAUUCAUUGUGGAAGUAUGGUAGAUGCACCUGUAAGCGAAACCUUCCAAUCAUUCAUAUCGACAAGGUAUUAAGUAUCAACAUCUUCUUCCCUCGGGAAAAUUUUUCUCCCCCCCUGUAAAUCCAUGUAAAGAUUCUGGCAUCGAGGAAAUAUAGAGCAUAAGUGUUCCUCU
Molecule: RNA transcript, 2060 nt
Organism: Rhodamnia argentea
Lineage: Eukaryota; Viridiplantae; Streptophyta; Magnoliopsida; Myrtales; Myrtaceae
Gene name: probable anion transporter 4, chloroplastic
Exons: 10
Source: RefSeq, a predicted model, not a curated record